This 434-nucleotide ribosomal RNA is filed under the name uncultured bacterium. RNAcentral's name for it is "partial 16S ribosomal RNA". It matches the Rfam family "Bacterial small subunit ribosomal RNA", at positions 29 to 507 of the family's 1533-position model. The record is from RNAcentral.
AACGAACGCUGGCGGCAUGCCUAACACAUGCAAGUCGAACGAGAUCUUCGGGUCUAGUGGCGCACGGGUGCGUAACGCGUGGGAAUCUGCCCUCAGGUUCGGAAUAACCAUUGGAAACGAUGGCUAAUACCGGAUGAUGACGUUAAGUCCAAAGAUUUAUCGCCUGAGGAUGAGCCCGCGUAGGAUUAGCUAGUUGGUGUGGUAAAGGCGCACCAAGGCGACGAUCCUUAGCUGGUCUGAGAGGAUGAUCAGCCACACUGGGACUGAGACACGGCCCAGACUCCUACGGGAGGCAGCAGUGGGGAAUAUUGGACGAUGGGCGAAAGCCUGAUCCAGCAAUGCCGCGUGAGUGAUGAAGGCCUUAGGGUUGUAAAGCUCUUUUACCCGGGAUGAUAAUGACAGUACCGGGAGAAUAAGCUCCGGCUAACUCCGUG